This 492-nucleotide ribosomal RNA is filed under the name uncultured bacterium. RNAcentral describes it as "partial 16S ribosomal RNA". It matches the Rfam family "Bacterial small subunit ribosomal RNA", at positions 29 to 507 of the family's 1533-position model. The record is from RNAcentral.
AGUGAACGCUGGCGGUAGGCCUAACACAUGCAAGUCGAACGGCAGCACAGUAAGAGCUUGCUCUUACGGGUGGCGAGUGGCGGACGGGUGAGGAAUACAUCGGAAUCUACUUUUUCGUGGGGGAUAACGUAGGGAAACUUACGCUACUACCGCAUACGACCUACGGGCGAAAGCAGGGGAUCUUCGGACCUUGCGCGAUUGAAUGAGCCGAUGUCGGAUUAGCUAGUUGGCGGGGUAAAGGCCCACCAAGGCGACGAUCCGUAGCUGGUCUGAGAGGAUGAUCAGCCACACUGGAACUGAGACACGGUCCAGACUCCUACGGGAGGCAGCAGUGGGGAAUAUUGGACAAUGGGCGCAAGCCUGAUCCAGCCAUACCGCGUGUGUGAAGAAGGCCUUCGGGUUGUAAAGCCCUUUUGUUGGGAAAGAAAAGCAGCAGGUUAAUACCCCGCUGUUCUGACGGUACCCAAAGAAUAAGCACCGGCUAACUUCGUG